This is a non-coding RNA of Podarcis lilfordi (Lilford's wall lizard), 76 nucleotides long. Lineage: Eukaryota; Metazoa; Chordata; Lepidosauria; Squamata; Lacertidae. The record is from the annotation of a GenBank genome assembly.
GCUGGAAUAGCUUAGUUGGUAAAGCAAAUGGACACUCGUAAUCUCAGGGUUGUGGGUUUGAACCCCGUGUUGGGCA